GACGAACGCUGGCGGCGUGCCUAAUACAUGCAAGUCGAACGCUUUUUCUUUCACCGGAGCUUGCUCCACCGAAAGAAAAGGAGUGGCGAACGGGUGAGUAACACGUGGGUAACCUGCCCAUCAGAAGGGGAUAACACUUGGAAACAGGUGCUAAUACCGUAUAACAAUAGAAACCGCAUGGUUUCUAUUUGAAAGGCGCUUUUGCGUCACUGAUGGAUGGACCCGCGGUGCAUUAGCUAGUUGGUGAGGUAACGGCUCACCAAGGCAACGAUGCAUAGCCGACCUGAGAGGGUGAUCGGCCACAUUGGGACUGAGACACGGCCCAAACUCCUACGGGAGGCAGCAGUAGGGAAUCUUCGGCAAUGGACGRAAGUCUGACCGAGCAACGCCGCGUGAGUGAAGAAGGUUUUCGGAUCGUAAAACUCUGUUGUUAGAGAAGAACAAGGAUGAGAGUAAAAUGUUCAUCCCUUGACGGUAUCUAACCAGAAAGCCACGGCUAACUACGUGCCAGCAGCCGCGGUAAUACGUAGGUGGCAAGCGUUGUCCGGAUUUAUUGGGCGUAAAGCGAGCGCAGGCGGUUUCUUAAGUCUGAUGUGAAAGCCCCCGGCUCAACCGGGGAGGGUCAUUGGAAACUGGGAAACUUGAGUGCAGAAGAGGAGAGUGGAAUUCCAUGUGUAGCGGUGAAAUGCGUAGAUAUAUGGAGGAACACCAGUGGCGAAGGCGGCUCUCUGGUCUGUAACUGACGCUGAGGCUCGAAAGCGUGGGGAGCAACAGGAU
This 777-nucleotide ribosomal RNA is filed under the name Enterococcus gilvus. RNAcentral's name for it is "bacterial SSU rRNA". It matches the Rfam family "Bacterial small subunit ribosomal RNA", at positions 28 to 778 of the family's 1533-position model. The record is from RNAcentral. Lineage: Bacteria; Bacillati; Bacillota; Bacilli; Lactobacillales; Enterococcaceae.